UCCCAGGACCUGUCUCCUCCUCUCUUUGCAGCGCUAUGCUCUGUCGCGAGGCUGGCGGUGGCGGGUGGGUCGAUGAACAGAGAGGAAAGAUACGGUGCCGUCGAUCCGUCCUGCCUGUGGAUUCACUGGAUGCGUCUUGGUGGAGUGAGCGCUCGUGAGAUUCGAUCUGGUUGCUCUGUCUUUCAAGGUGGAUUCGUUGUCAGUAGGUUGGGACGGAUUGAUCGCUGUUGGAUUUGUUAACUUGCAGGUGGGCUAAACCUCUCGUCCUCUGGCGACGAACAUCGCCUCCCGCUAGGGUAUGCGGGCGACAGUCGUUACUCAGCGCCAGCAGGUCGCUGCCCCGUCCUCCAAUUGACAAUGGUAGCAUGCUUAUGCCUUGGGGCAUGGUGUCGCGGGUAGAGUGUGUGCUGCCAUGGCUGAACGAAGCAGCAGUCGGCCGUGCACACUGUCUGACUACUAUUGAUGUUGGUCUUUCAUGUAGGCUUGCCUUCAAAUAUCACGGCUAGGUAUGUAUGGAUCGUGCAACCUGCAUAUUCACAACUCUGAAGCAAUAGAACUACAAUCAGCUCACAACCCCCAUCGAGUAGUACACCUAUCUGUUCCAUUCAGAGGUACUCAUCUUGUUGAUUCAGGUGAGAUCUAUUACCUAUACCUUAGAUCCUCUAAACUGAAGGAGCUCCGAUGGGAAGGGUAUUUUAAAAUCUGGUGUUGUCUACAUGUUUUGGCUGCUUGUAUCUUCCUAGGCGAUGUCUUACUAGCUGACGAGCAAAUCAUAUGAAAAUAUGAACCACAUAUGAUCUUUGCUAAUAGAAGUACAACACUCAACCUGUGCUAUGUCAAUUCUAUGGCCACUACAUAUUCAGACGGGCAAAUGAACCAAAUAAAUCUUUCAGUGGGCCAGUGAUAAUAUUAUUUGUUGAACUGAUUAGAGAAGUAAACUAUAUACAACAGUAAACAGAAGUUGAAUUGUUUAGAGAGGUAAACUAUAGAACGGUAAUCUGAAGUACACUUGGAUCCCAAAGAUGCUGGUGGAAAUACGUCAACAAGUUACCCGCUACAAUCAUCACCAGAGAUAUAACCACAAAAACUGUAGUUCAAAGCUAUCCGCUACAUUAACCUUGAAUUUCCUAUCCAUUCUCAUCACCGAUGACCUGCCAUAAACCGUACAAAUAACAAUGAGUAUUGUGUUUACCUGCACACAAAAGAAGGGAAUUGUUCCUGAACCUGGUUUCUGAGGCCAGGCACGAGUAUUGUUUAAUUUCAGAAUUUGAGAAGAGGUGUAAACCAUUAAGAGGGACGUACCAUGACGCCAAAAGUUUCAGUCUGCCACCAAGUUUAUUUUGUUCAUCCCACAAAAAACAUGAACUCUCAAUCAAUGGCUGCAUAGCGUCAGAACACAAGAGGAUUUUGAGCCAAUCAAAAUAUAUUCAUUUAAAAAAAUCACUGCUGGACCGACUGUUAUUCUUCAGUUGCAUUCCCUCUACUUAUCUCUGACGAAUCUACUAUUCUUCAGUUGCAUCCCCCUGUACUGAUAUUAGCUAAUAUAAGUGACAAUGCUCUGACUCUUGGAAUUUGUAAUGCUCAUCCAAUCCUCCCCGUCUAUACCUAUUUAAUAGCUUCAAGAGCUCUCCCCAAAUCAUCAUUCAAAAGUUCUUCAUCUACUUGUGCUAUGUUACGUAGAUAUUUUUCUAGCUUUCAAAGGAAGCAUGUCCAGGUGUUCCUAACAUGCUCGAGGUUUGUAGGGAAUUUAGAAUAUGUAUAUCGAUCGGGCACCUUCGUUGUGUGAAAUUCCUUACUUAUUAUGUCACUUAUAUCAGCUAACUAUCAAGACCAAUGAACUGCAUCACGUCUAUGUAAUCACUUUUUAGUUUAUGUCAAGAUUAAUAGACUGCAUAUGCACCCCCACACCCUUGGUUAGAUCUACAAUCAAAUGUAAUGGUGAGAUUUAAUUUAAAAACAGUUAAUUUGUUUGCAUGGCUAUGCAAAAUUAGACAAUGAUUACAUUCUUUAAAUAAACAGUUAAGGGCAUGCCAGACUUUGCAAUCUUCAGAAGAGAUUGUUAGCCUAAAAUCUGCAAGACAAUAUAUCUGCGUACUUCGAGGACUGGUAGUUUGUUGCAAUUACCAGAUACUGCAAGCUGUGGUUCUAAUUCAUUCUUUCGCAUUACCGUUUUGGAAUUCAAUCUGUGGUUGACUGUUACUUGAUGGUUCUCUUGUUUCGAUCUCCUAGGACUGGAAUGUAGAAGCUUUUUGUUUGUUUUCUCACCAUAUCGUUGUAACAACUCUCAGCGUCUUAUGAAAAUUCUGAAGUAGUUUGGAGAAAAGAUGUGUGAGAAGUAGGUGUAUAGAUAUGUUCCUUCCAUGUAUUGGAUCGAGGAAUUUCUUAUAUUUCUUCUUUUAUUAAUUUCAGGAGAGGAAGAGAAUUUUAGUGGUACUUCAGAUUUUGGUAAUUGUUCAUGAUUGAGUUCACCAUAAUUGAUAAAAAAAAUUAUGACUGUUAUCAUUUUCAUGGUUUAUUUUAGUUGCUGGAAGGAAAGCACUGCUAGAAAUUUCGGAAUUGAGAUGUGGUUUUGAACAGUUCUGUCAGGUAUUGCUUAUUUGCAUUGUGCAAUCACAAUUCUGGGGACAAUCGUUUUUAGUUUUGUAGUAUUUCGGAUCUGGAUCCUAUCUUUCUAGCAGAUCACCACAUUUGGCGGGAUUUGGCUUAUUAAACAACAAGCAAACAAUAAAUUUUGUGAAUAUAAUGUGACGUUUCCAGUUAUAACUUUUAGACUUUUGAUUCCUUCCUUUAGUUGUCAGCGGAAAAUACUGAAGGCAUGUAGUUGUAUACAUGUUUGAAAAAUCAGAAGCGGUUAGUAACAUUUUGCAUCCUGAUACUACAAUCGACAUUACUAAGCUUGAUGCACUCAUGAAUCUUUAAUAACAGGAUUAACAGUGAUCUUGCUGCUUGAGUUACUUUGCAGGUAACGCUGUUAUGCCAAUGACAUAGUUUAUUCAGCUCUCAGGACAACUACUUCUAUUUCAUAUUCAUACUAAAACUUCUAUGAAGCUACCAAAAUUCCUUGUUGUGAAUUUGUUCUGAAGCUACUAAAAUAUCCCCUUAUACUAAAAUUGGAUUUCUACUGAAACUUUGUCAGGAUACUCAGUCCUGUUGUACUAAAAUUUACCUGCUUGCUUAUGCAUUAAAAUCUACCUUGUUUCUGAAAUUUAAUAAGGAGGAGCUCAAGGGAGAAAAUGAUUCAAGGAGAAGAGAGCCAGAGAAGGAGAAUUAAGAUGUGCCUUAUACUUAUAAUUUCUGAGCACUACUUGAAUCGCGAUAUCAUGUUAGAAGUGUGGGUAUGGGAGGUUUGGUGGAUUGUGAGCCGGAGAUGGUGGAGGAUUGUUAACAGCACUGAUUUAACGGUAAAAAAAUAUUGGUAGUGUUCUUUAUGAAACAUUUGGUCGAUUGUGUGCAGCUACGGGGACACAUAUUUUUGUAGUUCUACAUCAAUCAUAUUUAACUGAGAUCUGGAUGUUCAGCCAAGGUAUGUGAUGUGUAGUAUACUAUGCAAAUCUUUGUUAAAUAUCAUAUACCCACUCCGUAUACUACAUAUCAUAUACCCAGUCCCAUGAAUCAUGUGGUUCUGACAUAAAAAUGUCCUUCGAUGAAUUUUUUUCAUGGUUCAGGGGACCAACAACAUUCGAAGAGCAUUUCAGCUGUAUGGAGGAGCUUGCAAGUAUGUUUCACUUGCUUGGGCUGGAACUUUGGUUCAUGGAGAAAAGUUGCAUGAUUAGCCAAGGUAUGUCUGAACCAAUCCUAACUAAUCUCCCCUCUACUAUGAGGAUACUAACACGAGCAUGUAGGAAUGGGAUUGUAUAUUUUUUUGCUGAAUUAUUCGCAUAGCUAUGUAAAUAUGUUCCCUCAACCUACAAGGAGCAUGAUCUUUUUGGCGCAUAACGACAAUGACAUUCUCCGCCCAGGGGAUAUUGAAUCGGUACCUUUUUUAUUGAAGCAUUAGGUCAAUUUCAAACCAUGAAGAUUAGUAAAGAGCAACUAUUCCCUGAGUCCCCUUUUGGGGCCUUGCCUUCUUUUUAUAUAUCCAUUUCUUUAGUUGACACAUCCUUCUGUCAUCUGAGCUUGUCACAUUUGGAUAUUUUUCUCAAUUGAUGAUAUGGGUACAAUUUAUGUAGAAAACUAAGGCACUCAACAUAGUGUUUGUGGCGUAAGAGGUUGGGAUUGCCACAUAAUAUUUUAGCAUGUUCAUCUAACAGACCCUCCUUUCAUUCCUUUAUAGCGCCGUGCGGUUCAUUCUCCUUUGGUGAUGGAACUCAUGGUCCUAUAUGUGCAUUUGGCAACCACUGGAAGAACAUGCGACGACUGGGCUCUCAAGUUCAGUUAUCAUAAUUAACUUCGAUGCUUUUGGGUGUUGUCUCUAGCUGGUGUAAAAUUGGCAAUGACCUAUGUUGGAGAUCUCACGUUUGCCCUGUAGAUUUUAGACUUUGAUAACUACAUCUUGUGGUGUCUUCUCACAUAAGAUACGUCCAUGUUGUUUGGUUCAAAAAUGGAACUGGGUAUGUAAUGCAGUGGAUAGAUCUUUUUUUCAGAGAGAAAUAUAUCUAUAUUUCUAUUGUUCAA
Non-coding RNA from Aegilops tauschii subsp. strangulata, 4614 nucleotides. Lineage: Eukaryota; Viridiplantae; Streptophyta; Magnoliopsida; Poales; Poaceae. The record is from RefSeq and is a predicted model, not a curated record.